RNAcentral lists this ribosomal RNA (554 nucleotides) under uncultured bacterium. RNAcentral's name for it is "partial 16S ribosomal RNA". It matches the Rfam family "Bacterial small subunit ribosomal RNA", at positions 355 to 898 of the family's 1533-position model. The record is from RNAcentral.
UGGGGAAUAUUGCACAAUGGGCGCAAGCCUGAUGCAGCCAUGCCGCGUGUAUGAAGAAGGCCUUCGGGUUGUAAAGUACUUUCAGCGGGGAGGAAGGGAGUAAAGUUAAUACCUUUGCUCAUUGACGUUACCCGCAGAAGAAGCACCGGCUAACUCCGUGCCAGCAGCCGCGGUAAUACGGAGGGUGCAAGCGUUAAUCGGAAUUACUGGGCGUAAAGCGCACGCAGGCGGUUUGUUAAGUCAGAUGUGAAAUCCCCGGGCUCAACCUGGGAACUGCAUCUGAUACUGGCAAGCUUGAGUCUCGUAGAGGGGGGUAGAAUUCCAGGUGUAGCGGUGAAAUGCGUAGAGAUCUGGAGGAAUACCGGUGGCGAAGGCGGCCCCCCUGGACGAAGACUGACGCUCAGGUGCGAAAGCGUGGGGCAGCAAACAGGAUUAGAUACCCUGGUAGUCCACGCCGUAAACGAUGUCGACUUGGACGGUUGUGCCCUUGAGGCGUGGCUUCCGGAGCUAACGCGUUAAGUCGACCGCCUGGGGAGUACGGCCGCAAGGUUAAA